This is a long non-coding RNA of Cynoglossus semilaevis (tongue sole), 2210 nucleotides long. RefSeq lists it as uncharacterized. The transcript is spliced from 3 exons. NCBI's taxonomy places the organism in Eukaryota, Metazoa, Chordata, Actinopteri, Pleuronectiformes, Cynoglossidae. The record is from RefSeq and is a predicted model, not a curated record.
CGGGUGGGGGGGCGGGGGGGGGGUCGGGUCUCUUUCCACUUGUCUGUGCACAGAUCUGAGUCAGGGGUGAGUGAAGGGGUGAGUCACAUCUGUGGUCUGUGCUGAAGAAACGUCUUCUCAGGGUUUGUUGGUGCAGGAAGUAAAUAAAUAAAUAAAUAUGUUGUAUAUAAAAUAUAUCGAGUGUCAGAAACAGAGACAUUUGUACGACAAAUCAGGUUUUCACUUCUCAAAGUCGGUUUAAAACUGAAUUACAAAUGCACCGCGAUCUGAACUCAGAUCAGUUGUAUAAAGUUGUAAAUAUAUCUGUAAAUAUAUACGGCCUGGUUUUUAAUGUAUGAUGUUAUAAAUGCAGCGUUGUUGUUUUAUACAAAUAAAACUACUUUUUUUUCAUAUUUUCAUAUUGUGGUGCAAUAAAUGCAAUAAGUAAUUCUGGGAUUUUGUAACGAGACCCGUAUGUUGAAACACCUUCUGAGUCAUCGACUUCUGAACAACACAUUCAGUGUUUAACAUCAAAUCAUGUUUAGUUUUUUUUUAAAUUAGGCAAUAAAAAGAACUUCUUUCAGCAGAUGUUUUUUUUACUUCCUGUGAGACCAUGAGAUCACAUCUUACUUCCUCAUUUGUGUUGUACACAGUGUGUACUUCGUGUACUGUGUGCACUGAGGUGCUUUGUGAAAACUGUUGCUUCAGUGCUCUGAGCUGAGGUUUCUAUGUUUAAACCAAAUAAGCUGAUUGGUCCAGCAGUGACCAAAACAAAAACAUUUUCUCUGUUUCACUUUAAGCUGUGGUGCUGAACAUAAAACCGGCCCAAAGAGGUCGAGGGGGCGAGGGGGCGGGGAGGUUAUUGCGGGCCCCCUUGAUGAAAGUUUGAAAAUAAAAAAAUAUAUAUAAACAUCACAUAUAUUUUUUUUUGUAAAUGUAUUAAUAUUUCAUUAAACACCAAUAAAUAAUAAUAAUAAAUAUCUAAUAUUCUUGUACUUCUUUGCAUGAAAACAAAGGGGAAAAACAUGGACAUAAAAACAUUGUGACUCUCUGGGGUUAAUCAGUGACAUCACACUCACCUGGUCCCUGUCGUUACCUGUCUGUCAGUCUCACUCAUGUCACCUGGUGGCCGGGGUAUAUAAGUACCUCUACCCUACUCUGUGCUCUGCCUGGUUUCGUCUCUGUUCCUGCCUGGUCUGUGGUGAACUGACAGAUGUGUUUUGUGUUUUGACUCCACCUGAUGACAUUUACUGCCAGAAAAAGACCUAGUCCUUCAGCAGGCGCUCAGCAGCUCUGGAGGUUUGGUUUGCAAUCCCUCGUCUUUAUCUCCCCACCUACGCCACCAGCCCGACCCUCGAGUUCCCAUCAGGCCUUUGGUUUCUGUUGGAGUGUGUGAGAAGUGAGACAUGUAGUGGUGGGUUUAGGCAGUGAAGAGAAACAUGGACGACCGUGCCGGGCAGUUUGACUGGACUUUAAUAUUUAGGCUUGAAUUUUUUUUUUUUAGUAGAACACUGAACUUUAAAUGACAACAGGAAGAGAAAGUCUUUGACUCACAUUAACAAUUAGUAACUGUUGGGUUUUGUUGAUCAAAAGUAAAAACAUAAGAACGAACAAACCUGAAGUUCAAUGAAACAGGACACAAUUAAAAAUGAGAAGUCGUUACAAAAAACAAACAAACAAACAAAAAAAACAGAGACGUGUCAACAGUUUAAACGUGUUUAAAACAACAAACCUUUCCAUGGAUCCAGCCGUCCAUCUAUUGAUUAUUCCCAUUUGUCCCAAGAACUUGUAGCAUUUGAAGGCAACACUGUAAGAUAUGUUUUCUGCCGAGAAAAAACAGAUGUACUGGAAAUACGAGAGAGAAGAAGAAGAAGCAACACUUCAGGUCUAAAACUGCUGCAACGCUGUUUGUGUUCACAGUGGUUUUUCAUUCAGGUCUGGAUCUUCAGAGUCCAUCAGGGAGGGGGGGUAGGUGGGGGGGGAUUAGACCCUGAUUGGUCCCUGAAGGCCAGCCCUGAUAGUGCUGUGUGUCAAUAUAAAAAUAAAAAAACUUAAAACAAAACAAAUGUUAAAGUGGCUAACACAGCGUUAACAAGGCACUUUUUUUCCCCGUAGUAUUCUUUAAAGACUCCAGUUGUUCACACCAUUCACACUGUGAUUCACACCGUGAUUCACUGAGUCUUUUCUUCUUCUAAAUUCAUUAUUUUUCUAAACCUGUAAAAAAAAAAAAA